UAAACCAACAAUAGAGAGGCUUCAGCCAGCCCCGCACCCCAGCUCCCCAGCCUAGGAUCCCAGACCUGUACCAUCUUGCCCUGGUCAAAAGUGGCAUCUAUGUGCCCGCUGAGCAGAAAUGGAAGUGACAAAAUACCAAAAGAAGCAAUGAUCCCUGUAUUUUUGCACUCACCAGAAGGAGGAAAUACUGGAAAUCUAGACUAUCCAGAUGAGGAGCAUGCAAUAAACUGAGGGAG
This is a long non-coding RNA of Emys orbicularis (European pond turtle), 236 nucleotides long. RefSeq lists it as uncharacterized. The record is from RefSeq and is a predicted model, not a curated record. NCBI's taxonomy places the organism in Eukaryota, Metazoa, Chordata, Testudines, Emydidae. The transcript has 3 exons.